Prinia subflava (tawny-flanked prinia) is the source of this 626-nucleotide long non-coding RNA. RefSeq lists it as uncharacterized. The record is from RefSeq and is a predicted model, not a curated record. The transcript is spliced from 3 exons. NCBI's taxonomy places the organism in Eukaryota, Metazoa, Chordata, Aves, Passeriformes, Cisticolidae.
GCACGGCUCAGCUCGGCGUGGCUUGGGGCGGUACUGCGCGGCAAGGCUCGGGACAUCGUGCUGCCUGGGUAGGCACGGCUCGGCUCUGCUCGGCACGGUUUGGCUUGGCUCAGUCCUGCUCAGGAUAUUGUGCUGCCUAGCCCCAAGUCAAGCACCCAGAGGACAGGAAAGCCAGACUGUAUCUUGAGGCACUUCUGGACACUUGCAGCUCUCAGUGUGGCAUCUUGCUGCUUUCAGGGCCUCUCAGGAAGAUCUCAGACACAAUGCAGGCCGAGGCAGGCUGGCAUGUCCAGCCUCGUGGGAGAGGAACAACCCUGGGCAGAGAUAGCCAGGAGGAAAAAGCUGCCCUGCCCGGUGGAGUUUUUCUUCAUUCCUUGAAAGCCACAGAGACCUGCUGUGCGGGAUUCAGGGCUGGAGGCAGCGCCAGGGCAGCACCGAGGAGGAGCUGUCGUGACGGAUGACAGGACACCAUUCCCGAAUCCCUCUGCCACAGGAUGGAGGAAAGACCCGUUGGUCAUUGGCCCCGUGUCCAGGAUGUCAAAAUCCUCUUCUUCGCCCAGAUCAGUGAAGUCCAGGUCCUUGAUCUUCAGCUGCACAGGGAUGGUCUCCAGGCGCUCCCAUGUCAG